AGACCGAAGAGGAUUCAUCGCUGGUUGCAAAACUAGAGGAAAGUCCGGGCUGCGCAGAGCGCCGCACCCUGUGAAAAGCGGGGGACGUUAAACGCAAGUUUAAUGGACAGACAGUGCUGCAGAAAUUAAACCGCCACUAGCAAUAGUGGUAAGGGUGAAAAGGAGGUGUAAGAGACCACCGUCGUUCUUGGUAACAAGGCGAGCUAGGAAAACCUUGCGGGCUGUAAGAUCAAAUAAACCGAGGCCGUUGGAUUCGUUCCAACUGAAGAGUUGCUCGCUCAAUCUCGGAGGGUAGAUCGCAUAGAUAAAUGAUGAAACAUGUGGCAACACAUGAACAGAACCCGGCUUACGCUCACGGUCUUUUA
This 365-nucleotide RNase P RNA is filed under the name Flavobacteriales bacterium. RNAcentral describes it as "RNase P RNA component class A". It matches the Rfam family "Bacterial RNase P class A". From Rfam's summary of the family: Ribonuclease P (RNase P) is a ubiquitous endoribonuclease, found in archaea, bacteria and eukarya as well as chloroplasts and mitochondria. Its best characterised activity is the generation of mature 5'-ends of tRNAs by cleaving the 5'-leader elements of precursor-tRNAs. The record is from RNAcentral. Lineage: Bacteria; Pseudomonadati; Bacteroidota; Flavobacteriia; Flavobacteriales.